UUUAGACGAGGUUCACGUCAUUUUAUUAAUUAAUAUAAAAUAUAAGUAUGUAGUGAUUUAAUUAUACAUUUAUGUUUAUAAGUAGAAUUAAAUAAAUAUUUUCAGCUUAAAAUUUUAAAUUUAAAAUUAUUUAGUUAUUAUAUUCAACAAUUAGUAAUAAAGUGCCAGCACUAGCGGUUAUACUUUCAUUGUAAAUUAAUAUUUUAUGAAUCUUUUUGACUUUAUAGUUUAAAUUAAGUAAAAUUUUUUAAUGUUUUAAGUCUUUCAUCAGAUAGAAUUAUGGAAUAGGAUUAGAUACCCUAGUACAUCUUAAGAAAAGAUUGUUAAUUAAAAAUUUUUAAAAACUGAAUCUUGGCGGCAAACGUACUAGCUAGAGGGUCUUGUUUAUUUAAUUGAUAAUACACAUUUUAAUUUACUUUUAUUUAUAAUUAUUUUAAUUGCUGUUGUAAAGGAAACUUAAAAAUAAUUUUCCUAAAAAUUUUAAAUUUUAUUAUAGAUUAGGCUUAGAAUAUAUAAAAGUUUAAAUGAGACACAAUUAUUAUACAAGCUUUAAAAUUUUGUAUAGAAGAAUUUAGUAGUAAUUUAUUAUGUAAAUUAAUAUUUAUGAAUAAAGUAUAAGUUUGUGUACAUACCGCCCGUCACUUCUUUUUAAAGAAUAAGUCGUAACAAGGUAAAUGUUCUGGAAGGAGUAUUUUUAGUUAA
Molecule: non-coding RNA, 702 nt
Filed under: Sacculina sp. 'Beibu Gulf'
Lineage: Eukaryota; Metazoa; Arthropoda; Thecostraca; Sacculinidae
Source: RNAcentral